This 288-nucleotide unclassified non-coding RNA is filed under the name uncultured Actinomycetes bacterium. Its description in RNAcentral is "uncultured actinobacterium contains 16S-23S intergenic spacer region". The record is from RNAcentral. Lineage: Bacteria; Bacillati; Actinomycetota; Actinomycetes.
UCCGGUUUGGCACCGGCAGUCUCCCUAGAGUUCCCGGCAUCACCCGCUGGCAACUAAGGACACGGGCUUUCACCCGCUUUAACUAGCAUGUCAAACCCAGGUAAGGUUCUUCGCGUUGCAUCGAAUUAAGCCACAUGCUCCGCCGCUUGUGCGGGCCCCCGUCAAUUCCUUUGAGUUUUAGCCUUGCGGCCGUACUCCCCAGGCGGAGUGCUUAAUGCGUUAGCUGCGGCACAGAGCGGGUUGAAGACCGCCCCACACCUAGCACUCAACGUUUACGGCUGGGACUAC